RNAcentral lists this long non-coding RNA (794 nucleotides) under Zonotrichia albicollis (white-throated sparrow). RNAcentral's name for it is "lncRNA (ENSZALG00000012127.1)". The record is from RNAcentral. Lineage: Eukaryota; Metazoa; Chordata; Aves; Passeriformes; Passerellidae.
AGCAGCUCCAGGUUGUGGGUGCUCGGCAGAGCUGGUGGCUCCCUGAGCCAUCCCGGGCUCCCAGCACGGAUCACCUGGGCAUGGGGGCACAGUGGGGCUCCCCCAGGCACAGACACCCCCUCUGCCUUUUGGGGAAGAAGAGUUUUCCCUGGGGACUCCAUCCCACAGCAGGGCUGGCAGUGAGAAUCCCUGAGACUGGCAGAUGUCGUCUCCCUUUCAUCUAGGACUUUGCUGUUCACUACAGUUACAGAAACCACGAGGCUGAAAGAGGGGAGGAAAAAAGAAGAGAUUAAAUUAAUGAGCAGGCUCAGCAGGGAAGAGGCAGAGCAGGAGCGUCCCAGGGAGCCACGGCAGGAGGAAGAAGAGGAAGAAGAGGAGGGUGGAGGAACAAGUCCUGGCACUGGGUCCUUCCCACCAAGGGUGUUCUUCCCAUUUUCCCAGGAAUGUGGCUGUGCCUGCUGUUUAAGGGAAGCCUGGUUAUUUUCCCUCCAAAGCAGAGCAGGAUCAUUUUCCCCUGCCCCUGUGACAGACCAUUGGGCAUUACUGAAUCCAUCAUUUCCCCUCUUGUCUCCACUCACGUUCCCUUCCUUCCCAAAGCCUGGGAAGACCCUUGCUCACAGCUGUGGCUUUAGCAUCCCAGAAAUUCCAGCACUUGCUUCAACUUCUGUGAGAAUUUAAGUGUUUCUGCAUCCUUACCAAUGGGCAGUGAUAGGCAGAGCCCCAGCUCAGCAUCUCCUGGGGAGCAAAGCGAGCUGGUUCUGCAGAUGGGAUUUGUUCAGUGAUUUGUUUAGGAG